GACGAACGCUGGCGGCGUGCUUAACACAUGCAAGUCGAACGGAAAGGCCCUGCUUUUGUGGGGUGCUCGAGUGGCGAACGGGUGAGUAACACGUGAGUAACCUGCCCUUGGCUUUGGGAUAACUUCAGGAAACUGGGGCUAAUACCGGAUAGGAGCUCCUGCUGCAUGGUGGGGGUUGGAAAGUUUCGGCGGUUGGGGAUGGACUCGCGGCUUAUCAGCUUGUUGGUGGGGUAGUGGCUUACCAAGGCUUUGACGGGUAGCCGGCCUGAGAGGGUGACCGGCCACAUUGGGACUGAGAUACGGCCCAGUCUCCUACGGGAGGCAGCAGUGGGGAAUAUUGCACAAUGGGCGGAAGCCUGAUGCAGCAACGCCGCGUGCGGGAUGACGGCCUUCGGGUUGUAAACCGCUUUCGCCUGUGACGAAGCGUGAGUGACGGUAAUGGGUAAAGAAGCACCGGCUAACUACGUG
Molecule: ribosomal RNA, 468 nt
Filed under: uncultured bacterium
Lineage: Bacteria
Description: partial 16S ribosomal RNA
Rfam family: Bacterial small subunit ribosomal RNA
Source: RNAcentral